This is a long non-coding RNA of Felis catus (domestic cat), 1234 nucleotides long. RefSeq lists it as uncharacterized. The transcript is spliced from 3 exons. The record is from RefSeq and is a predicted model, not a curated record. Lineage: Eukaryota; Metazoa; Chordata; Mammalia; Carnivora; Felidae.
GACCGGGACUCCCAACUGGCUCAGUCGGAAGAGCGUACAACUCUCGAUCUUGGGGUCGGGAGUCGAGCCUCACAUUGGGUGUAGAGCUUACUUAAAAAUCAUCGUCACCAUCAUCCUAGGAUGGGUUUCUAGAAGGAGGAUUGUUCCUUCAACACAGAUAAUGAGAUUGUGUAGUGAAACCGCUUUCCUGCUAUGUGGGACCUGCCCCUCUCCCAGGUCACUGGCCCUGCCCCCUGACGUCAUCGUCACAUCGGUCCUACUAACGUGGGAAGUGGGCGUGGCGUCUGUCGGUCGCAGUUGACGUUCUCAAAGCGCAGCAUGGCAACCCGUGACUUGGAUGUGCCACGUUUUGCCCUCUUACUCGGCAUUUAAGUUGUUCCUAAUUUCUCACUGUUGUAACUAAUGUCGCAUUGAAUAUCCUCGUGCACAAAUUAUCCCCAGCGUUGCCACAUUUCCGCUUUUGCCCACGCAUCUACAAGGCUUGCCCCUCAAUUUCUUCAGGUCCCUGCUCUCUGCCACUUCCCUGAGCACCCUCUACUAAAUAAUCCCCUCGGCCUGGCACCCCCUGGCCCCCUCACCCUGCUUUAUUUUUCUUCCAGGUCACCUCAGCCGACAUGCUGUUUAUUUCUUUAUGGUCUGGUCCCCACCACUGUGACGCGGCUCCACGGAGGUGUGGGUUUUUCAUCGGCUAUUGUAAAAGUAACACGUGUUCAUGAAAUCAGAUGUAUAAAUAGAAAAAUAGGACAAAGGAGGCCCCAAACACAAUGGGUCCUGUUUGGAUAGGUUUCCUCUAGUCUUUUGUUGUUGUUUCGAUUUUAACGCAAUUAAAAUCGUACUAUGUAUGUAAUUCUGUAACCGCUUUGUUCAGUGAACAGGGUGCCAUGCGGAUCAUCCCACGGUCUUCGGGGCGCGUGUACGCGGUGUGUGGGUGUGCGCCACCAGGGACGAUUGUAACCCAUCGUAAGCAGGUCCAUGUGGCUUGGAAGCAAGUUUACAGCACCAAGCGUUCCACGACAGAAGGGGAAGCGUUUCGAGUAUUUUCCAGAGGGCACGGGAAGCCCCUCAACCACCAGAGCCCCGUGUGUCACAGGGCACAGUUCGGUGGUAUUAAAUAACUCGCGCCUGGGUGGCUCAGCUGGUCGAGUUGCCGAUUUCGAUUCAGGUCACGAUCUCACAGCUCGUGCGUUCGAGACCCGAGUCAGGCUCUGCGAUGAGUUUAGAGCCUACUUGGGGU